GAAAGAUGGUUUCGGCUAUCGCUUACAGAUGGGCCCGCGGUGCAUUAGCUAGUUGGUAGGGUAAUGGCCUACCAAGGCAACGAUGCAUAGCCGACCUGAGAGGGUGAUCGGCCACACUGGGACUGAGACACGGCCCAGACUCCUACGGGAGGCAGCAGUAGGGAAUCUUCCGCAAUGGACGAAAGUCUGACGGAGCAACGCCGCGUGUAUGAAGAAGGUUUUCGGAUCGUAAAGUACUGUUGUUAGAGAAGAACAAGGAUAAGAGUAACUGCUUGUCCCUUGACGGUAUCUAACCAGAAAGCCACGGCUAACUACGUGCCAGCAGCCGCGGUAAUACG
This 338-nucleotide ribosomal RNA is filed under the name Listeria monocytogenes. Its description in RNAcentral is "bacterial SSU rRNA". It matches the Rfam family "Bacterial small subunit ribosomal RNA", at positions 202 to 527 of the family's 1533-position model. The record is from RNAcentral. Lineage: Bacteria; Bacillati; Bacillota; Bacilli; Caryophanales; Listeriaceae.